Long non-coding RNA from Photinus pyralis (common eastern firefly), 302 nucleotides. RefSeq lists it as uncharacterized. The record is from RefSeq and is a predicted model, not a curated record. Lineage: Eukaryota; Metazoa; Arthropoda; Insecta; Coleoptera; Lampyridae. The transcript has 3 exons.
AACGGAGAAAGUCAACCAAGUGAACGGGAAUAUCAGCUAAUGGAAUGACACAAGAAGCAGUGAGAAAAUUCGACCAAUUGAACGGGUAUAUCGGUUCCACUAAGGCGGCCAACCGUCCCAAAUUCAGCGGGACGGUCCCGUAAUGGAAAAUACUACUCCUGAUAAUUAAUAAAUAUUUCACGAAAUUUAACCGAUGCGCCCUGCGAGUCCCGCUUUUGGAGUAGUGUUGCCCAAAUUCACGUAAACGAGGCAAUGCCAACGGGCAAAGUGAAGCAAAGCGUUAAUGGUGACUGACGACUGAC